Molecule: ribosomal RNA, 233 nt
Filed under: uncultured bacterium
Lineage: Bacteria
Description: partial 16S ribosomal RNA
Rfam family: Bacterial small subunit ribosomal RNA
Source: RNAcentral
GCUCCUGGCUCAGGACGAACGCUGGCGGCGUGCUUAACACAUGCAAGUCGAACGGACUUAAUCGAAAGAAGUUUUCGGAUGGAAUUUGAGAAGAGUCAGUGGCGGACGGGUGAGUAACGCGUGAGGAACCUGCCUAUCAGAGGGGGACAACAGUUGGAAACGACUGCUAAUACCGCAUAAAACGUCAUGAUGGCAUCAUCGAGACGUCAAAGGAGCAAUCCGCUGAUAGAUGG